UCACUCGAUAGCACCCAUAUUGUACAUAUCAGAUGAUAGGCUGACGUUUGUCAAAUGCAUCACCUGUAAUUUUCAAAUCCAUCACUGAUACGAACUGAAUUUCAAAAAAGAGAAAGAAGCAGAAGAUGAACAGAUGAAUAGGAAACAAAGAGAGAAACAGGGCUGAGAAAUGAACAACUUUCCAUUAACAAGAUCAGAUAGAAGACAGAAAUAGAGAAAUAGACAGAUAGAAAGAACUUCCAGAAGAAGAACAGGAGAGAAGACCAAUUAAUUCUCGUUCCCCCUUCCUCAGUACACUAUUGGUGUUUUUAUAUACAAUGAAGAAGUAAGUUGUUACAAUUCAGUUACAGCAACAACUCCAACAGCUCCAACGGGUUUUGGCCCCCUUUCAUCUGCUUGAAUCUCCAGCUAACAAAUCUCCCACUAAGCUCAUGUAAAACAGUAUCGUAUCAAUCAUUCAAUAAUCAUACUUACAAAUCAGAUUAUAGACUGAACCUUAUAAAAUCCAUCACCUGUAAUCGCAUAUAUCUUGUUACACAAACACAUGAAGCAAAACUAUUGCAAAUCCUCACUCAAUGGAACCCAUACCCGACCGAUAAAUAAUAGGCUAAACAUUGCAAAAUCCAUCACCUGUAUGUGCAAUCUUAACUAGCCAACUCCCCUGAUGUUAUGCUUUCGCUUGCUCUUUUUCUGAAUCAGCUCUAAUAGGGCUGCUGCCGCCUGGGAGAAUGUUCUCACCCAAAGAGUUGCUGGCAUUGUUCAUGACUUCAACAUUGUCUUCACCUUUCAAAUUGCCCAAACUGGGGGAAUUAAUACCAGAAGCACACCCUUCUGAAUGUUUUGGCUGAUUCAGGGCAUGA
This 860-nucleotide unclassified non-coding RNA is filed under the name Hevea brasiliensis (rubber tree). The record is from RNAcentral. Lineage: Eukaryota; Viridiplantae; Streptophyta; Magnoliopsida; Malpighiales; Euphorbiaceae.